RNAcentral lists this ribosomal RNA (109 nucleotides) under Sinocyclocheilus grahami. The record is from RNAcentral. Lineage: Eukaryota; Metazoa; Chordata; Actinopteri; Cypriniformes; Cyprinidae.
AUUGGGAAUAAAAAAAAAAUGUCUGCGCCCGAUCUCGGAAGCUAAGCAGGGUCGGGCCUGGUUAGUACUUGGAUGGGAGACCGCCUGGGAAUACCAGGUGCUGUAAGUU